RNAcentral lists this ribosomal RNA (385 nucleotides) under uncultured bacterium. Its description in RNAcentral is "bacterial SSU rRNA". It matches the Rfam family "Bacterial small subunit ribosomal RNA", at positions 29 to 415 of the family's 1533-position model. The record is from RNAcentral.
AUUGAACGCUGGCGGCAUGCUUUACACAUGCAAGUCGAACGGCAGCGCGGGGGCAACCCUGGCGGCGAGUGGCGAACGGGUGAGUAAUACUUCGGAACGUGCCCAGUAGCGGGGGAUAACGCAGCGAAAGUUGUGCUAAUACCGCAUACGCUCUACGGAGGAAAGAGGGGGAUCGCAAGACCUCUCACUAUUGGAGCGGCCGAAGCCUGAUUAGCUAGUUGGUGGGGUAAAGGCUCACCAAGGCUACGAUCAGUAGCUGGUUUGAGAGAACGACCAGCCACACUGGGACUGAGACACGGCCCAGACUCCUACGGGAGGCAGCAGUGGGGAAUUUUGGACAAUGGGCGGAAGCCUGAUCCAGCCAUGCCGCGUGAGUGAAGAAGGC